AGCUCCCUAAGAUUUAAUUUUCAAAUUUUAUCGUCCUUAUUUACGUAAAAGUGUCACGUAAAUCCUCCGAAAGAUUGGCAAUUUUAUUUUCACAUAAAAAUUGCCUUUGAGUUACUUGGAAUUUUACCUAUUUAAUUAAAAAACCUAUUCAAAUAUCAGGACAUAUAUUCUAACGUCGCAUUAUUCCUAAUUCUCCGUGAUCUUCGAAAAACGUGUGUAAUUUAUGGUUGAUUUAAGCGAGUCAAAUACAUUUACUGAAACCCCAUUUGCCUUUAUCAGGUCGAAGAAUGUGUACCACUUUUGAUUAAAAUCAUCAUUCAUCUGUGUGUCUAUUCUUGACUUUGAGAGAAGGGAGUAUCCCCGGGAGCAUCACAGGGUGUCGCUCCUCGCUCACGAUCCCUAGCGUAAAAAAAUAGUAUUCCAGCAGUCCCUGCAAGCACUGUUGCCAGCUUAUCUGACCAAUCAAAAUUGAGAAAAUAUUGACGGUCUGACAUGCUCGCCAACGUCAUUUAUUUACUAUUGUGGCGGAACUCGUACCAACCUUUUGUUUUAAAAGAGACAGACAUCUAAGAAUCAUGUAUUUGUCUUUAUCUAAGCUAAGAAACGGUCGUUUAUUCCCUCGUUUUCUGCUGUUUUUGUUUUUUAAGCAUGGUUCAUUGCUUCUGUGCCCUAUUGAGGUAAGGUAAUGUACUAGUAAAAUGAAUACAGUUUUAUGAAG
Molecule: long non-coding RNA, 718 nt
Organism: Dendroctonus ponderosae (mountain pine beetle)
Lineage: Eukaryota; Metazoa; Arthropoda; Insecta; Coleoptera; Curculionidae
Exons: 2
Source: RefSeq, a predicted model, not a curated record